GCUUUGUAAGGCUGCACUGUAAAUUUCAAAUUUUCUUGUAUGGUUAUAUAUAACUCAAAUCAUAGUAUUUUCUAUGCAUUUUGCAAAAUUUCCGUUGACAUUUUGUAGUUCAUCUUAAUGUUUAUCUCCUCUCAUUUUCCUUACUCACUUUCCGUUGACAUGGAAUAAAUUACUGCUUUCAGCUAUUAUUUGCAUCUUUAACUAUUUAUAUAUUCCCUAGUUUUGCCAACUCUUUCUUUUUUCCCAUUUCAU
Molecule: unclassified non-coding RNA, 252 nt
Filed under: Hevea brasiliensis (rubber tree)
Lineage: Eukaryota; Viridiplantae; Streptophyta; Magnoliopsida; Malpighiales; Euphorbiaceae
Source: RNAcentral